GACGAACGCUGGCGGCGUGCUUAACACAUGCAAGUCGAACGGAAAGGCCCUGCUUUUGUGGGGUGCUCGAGUGGCGAACGGGUGAGUAACCGGUGGGUAACCUGCCCUUGCCUUUGGGAUACCUUCAGGAAACGGGGGCUAAUCCCGGAUAGGAGCUCCUGCUGCAUGGUGGGGGUUGGAAAGUUUCGGCGGUUGGGGAUGGACUCGCGGCUUAUCAGCUUGUUGGUGGGGUAGUGGCUUACCAAGGCUUUGACGGGUAGCCGGCCUGAGAGGGUGACCGGCCACAUUGGGACUGAGAUACGGCCCAGACUCCUACGGGAGGCAGCAGUGGGGAAUAUUGCACAAUGGGCGGAAGCCUGAUGCAGCAACGCCGCGUGCGGGAUGACGGCCUUCGGGUUGUAAACCGCUUUCGCCUGUGACGAAGCGUGAGUGACGGUAAUGGGUAAAGAAGCACCGGCUAACUACGUG
This 468-nucleotide ribosomal RNA is filed under the name uncultured bacterium. RNAcentral describes it as "partial 16S ribosomal RNA". It matches the Rfam family "Bacterial small subunit ribosomal RNA", at positions 28 to 507 of the family's 1533-position model. The record is from RNAcentral.